Molecule: ribosomal RNA, 468 nt
Filed under: uncultured bacterium
Lineage: Bacteria
Description: partial 16S ribosomal RNA
Rfam family: Bacterial small subunit ribosomal RNA
Source: RNAcentral
GACGAACGCUAGCGGCGUGCUUAACACAUGCAAGUCGAACGGAAAGGCCCUGCUUUUGUGGGGUGCUCGAGUGGCGAACGGGUGAGUAACACGUGAGUAACCUGCCCUUGACUUUGGGAUAACUUCAGGAAACUGGGGCUAAUACCGGAUAGGAGCUCCUGCUGCAUGGUGGGGGUUGGAAAGUUUCGGCGGUUGGGGAUGGACUCGCGGCUUAUCAGCUUGUUGGUGGGGUAGUGGCUUACCAAGGCUUUGACGGGUAGCCGGCCUGAGAGGGUGACCGGCCACAUUGGGACUGAGAUACGGCCCAGACUCCUACGGCAGGCAGCAGUGGGGAAUAUUGCACAAUGGGCGGAAGCCUGAUGCAGCAACGCCGCGUGCGGGAUGACGGCCUUCGGGUUGUAAACCGCUUUCGCCUGUGACGAAGCGUGAGUGACGGUAAUGGGUAAAGAAGCACCGGCUAACUACGUG